UUAAGCGACUAAGCGUACACGGUGGAUGCCCUGGCAGUCAGAGGCGAUGAAGGACGUGCUAAUCUGCGAUAAGCGUCGGUAAGGUGAUAUGAACCGUUAUAACCGGCGAUUUCCGAAUGGGGAAACCCAGUGUGAUUCGUCACACUAUCAUUAACUGAAUCCAUAGGUUAAUGAGGCGAACCGGGGGAACUGAAACAUCUAAGUACCCCGAGGAAAAGAAAUCAACCGAGAUUCCCCCAGUAGCGGCGAGCGAACGGGGAGCAGCCCAGAGCCUGAAUCAGUGUGUGUGUUAGUGGAAGCGUCUGGAAAGGCGCGCGAUACAGGGUGACAGCCCCGUACACAAAAUGCACAUACUGUGAGCUCGAUGAGUAGGGCGGGACACGUGGUAUCCUGUCUGAAUAUGGGGGGACCAUCCUCCAAGGCUAAAUACUCCUGACUGACCGAUAGUGAACCAGUACCGUGAGGGAAAGGCGAAAAGAACCCCGGCGAGGGGAGUGAAAAAGAACCUGAAACCGUGUACGUACAAGCAGUGGGAGCCUCUUUUAUGGGGUGACUGCGUACCUUUUGUAUAAUGGGGUCAGCGACUUAUAUUCUGUAGCAAGGUUAACCGAAUAGGGGAGCCGAAGGGAAACCGAGUCUUAACCGGGCGUUAAGUUGCAGGGUAUAGACCCGAAACCCGGUGAUCUAGCCAUGGGCAGGUUGAAGGUUGGGUAACACUAACUGGAGGACCGAACCGACUAAUGUUGAAAAUUAGCGGAUGACUUGUGGCUGGGGGUGAAAGGCCAAUCAAACCGGGAGAUAGCUGGUUCUCCCCGAAAGCUAUUUAGGUAGCGCCUCGUGAAUUCGUCUCCGGGGGUAGAGCACUGUUUCGGCAAGGGGGUCAUCCCGACUUACCAACCCGAUGCAAACUGCGAAUACCGGAGAAUGUUAUCACGGGAGACACACGGCGGGUGCUAACGUCCGUCGUGAAGAGGGAAACAACCCAGACCGCCAGCUAAGGUCCCAAAGUCAUGGUUAAGUGGGAAACGAUGUGGGAAGGCCCAGACAGCCAGGAUGUUGGCUUAGAAGCAGCCAUCAUUUAAAGAAAGCGUAAUAGCUCACUGGUCGAGUCGGCCUGCGCGGAAGAUGUAACGGGGCUAAACCAUGCACCGAAGCUGCGGCAGCGACACUGUGUGUUGUUGGGUAGGGGAGCGUUCUGUAAGCCUGUGAAGGUGUACUGUGAGGUAUGCUGGAGGUAUCAGAAGUGCGAAUGCUGACAUAAGUAACGAUAAAGCGGGUGAAAAGCCCGCUCGCCGGAAGACCAAGGGUUCCUGUCCAACGUUAAUCGGGGCAGGGUGAGUCGACCCCUAAGGCGAGGCCGAAAGGCGUAGUCGAUGGGAAACAGGUUAAUAUUCCUGUACUUGGUGUUACUGCGAAGGGGGGACGGAGAAGGCUAUGUUGGCCGGGCGACGGUUGUCCCGGUUUAAGCGUGUAGGCUGGUUUUCCAGGCAAAUCCGGAAAAUCAAGGCUGAGGCGUGAUGACGAGGCACUACGGUGCUGAAGCAACAAAUGCCCUGCUUCCAGGAAAAGCCUCUAAGCAUCAGGUAACAUCAAAUCGUACCCCAAACCGACACAGGUGGUCAGGUAGAGAAUACCAAGGCGCUUGAGAGAACUCGGGUGAAGGAACUAGGCAAAAUGGUGCCGUAACUUCGGGAGAAGGCACGCUGAUAUGUAGGUGAAGUCCCUCGCGGAUGGAGCUGAAAUCAGUCGAAGAUACCAGCUGGCUGCAACUGUUUAUUAAAAACACAGCACUGUGCAAACACGAAAGUGGACGUAUACGGUGUGACGCCUGCCCGGUGCCGGAAGGUUAAUUGAUGGGGUCAGCGCAAGCGAAGCUCUUGAUCGAAGCCCCGGUAAACGGCGGCCGUAACUAUAACGGUCCUAAGGUAGCGAAAUUCCUUGUCGGGUAAGUUCCGACCUGCACGAAUGGCGUAAUGAUGGCCAGGCUGUCUCCACCCGAGACUCAGUGAAAUUGAACUCGCUGUGAAGAUGCAGUGUACCCGCGGCAAGACGGAAAGACCCCGUGAACCUUUACUAUAGCUUGACACUGAACAUUGAGCCUUGAUGUGUAGGAUAGGUGGGAGGCUUUGAAGUGUGGACGCCAGUCUGCAUGGAGCCGACCUUGAAAUACCACCCUUUAAUGUUUGAUGUUCUAACGUGGACCCGUGAUCCGGGUUGCGGACAGUGUCUGGUGGGUAGUUUGACUGGGGCGGUCUCCUCCUAAAGAGUAACGGAGGAGCACGAAGGUUGGCUAAUCCUGGUCGGACAUCAGGAGGUUAGUGCAAUGGCAUAAGCCAGCUUGACUGCGAGCGUGACGGCGCGAGCAGGUGCGAAAGCAGGUCAUAGUGAUCCGGUGGUUCUGAAUGGAAGGGCCAUCGCUCAACGGAUAAAAGGUACUCCGGGGAUAACAGGCUGAUACCGCCCAAGAGUUCAUAUCGACGGCGGUGUUUGGCACCUCGAUGUCGGCUCAUCACAUCCUGGGGCUGAAGUAGGUCCCAAGGGUAUGGCUGUUCGCCAUUUAAAGUGGUACGCGAGCUGGGUUUAGAACGUCGUGAGACAGUUCGGUCCCUAUCUGCCGUGGGCGCUGGAGAACUGAGGGGGGCUGCUCCUAGUACGAGAGGACCGGAGUGGACGCAUCACUGGUGUUCGGGUUGUCAUGCCAAUGGCACUGCCCGGUAGCUAAAUGCGGAAGAGAUAAGUGCUGAAAGCAUCUAAGCACGAAACUUGCCCCGAGAUGAGUUCUCCCUGACCCUUUAAGGGUCCUGAAGGAACGUUGAAGACGACGACGUUGAUAGGCCGGGUGUGUAAGCGCAGCGAUGCGUUGAGCUAACCGGUACUAAUGAACCGUGAGGCUUAACCUU
RNAcentral lists this ribosomal RNA (2900 nucleotides) under Escherichia coli DEC3F. RNAcentral describes it as "bacterial LSU rRNA". It matches the Rfam family "Bacterial large subunit ribosomal RNA". The record is from RNAcentral. Lineage: Bacteria; Pseudomonadati; Pseudomonadota; Gammaproteobacteria; Enterobacterales; Enterobacteriaceae.